GGCAGGGCAGUUCCAGCCUCUGCGUGUGUCAUCGUGUAGUUUGUUUCUUCUGUCUGCCGUGUCUUUGCCCUUCCUCGGCUCUAAACGUCCUCGCGUCUCUUUGGGCUCGAGGAGCUCGGCACGCGUCUCGGGGGCCAUCCCUAGGGUAUCGAACGCCCAUCUUCAUCGGCACGCUGCCGAUCGGGUGCUUUUUUUAUUCUUGCGUUAUGAGCUUAAAGCGUGGGUAGGUCUUGGAAGUUUCCGGUCGGGAGUCUUUUGCGCAGCAUCGUCGCCGGCUGCGGCAUCAGCUCUGCUCCUUAGGCAUCCAUUUUCACGGACUGCGACGUCUCCCCUGCAUCCCUCCGUCCUAGGAUUCGGACUCCUACUUCUCAUCCACCGUCUCGGUUUUGACGGUAGCUUCGUAUAACGGGCCAUAACGCGUGACUCUUUCUGGGGCUGCCGUAUAGCCUCCUCGCCUCCCAGUUGUGGCCCUCUAGGUCUUCUCGCCUGACAUGGUAUCUUGUCUGAGAGCCCUUAUCGCUUAGAGUUUAUCUUGGAAUCAAACCUUUGGUAGCGUUUAGCGUUAGUGUAUGCGUGUGCCUGUUUGGCUCAGAGCUGCCCUGCCUGGGGGGUGUAGAGUCAGGAGUAAGUAGAACGGCAGUAGAAGUCAACGGUUUAAAUGUUGAUACGCUUAGACCGCCUAGGCGACAGACGUACGGUCACCUCGUAGUAGCCAUCCAGAGGCUGUGCGGACGCUCAUUUCUAGGGCGUUUUAUGGAGACUGUUGGAGCGGUGUGGGAGCGGCGGUCCAGCAGUAGCAAAUGAGAUGGAAUCUCAAAGGUGUUAAGGCUCGCAGGCGUGGGAGCGUACGCUCUGGGGGGAGGCGCGUGGUUUUCUUUUUAACAACAGGCUGUAGUUGGAUGCCGGCUAGUAUCCCUAGGCGGAAGUGACACCUCCGGAUUUGUUAAGCCUCCGGGUGACUCGCGUAACUGUUUUGACAUGCAGAUCGGUGAGAUGCGCACCAAAGAGUGACGGGGGAGAUGGAGAGCCACAAGCAAAGUAGGAUUUUGGCACCGGAGGCAGCUUGGGCGAGGUGGCACGCGAGCCUUGACGUGACAACUGGAAACAGCAGCGGCAGGGCAGGUGAAGGGCCGAGUUUUUUGCAGGUGCCGCAGAUGGCCGCGGAGGGGCCGAGCCGCACGCAGACCGACAGUCUGAGAAGGUGCUUUGGGAGCCGCCUUUGGGAUCGGAUGAGCGUUUGAAGCGAGCCGGGGUAGUCGCAAGGAGGAUGGUGGGUGACUCGUUAGAAGCGCAAGGGUAACUUUGUCUCUCGGUAUCUUAGGUAACGCCAGCGACGACGGCUGCAGCAUCUGACUCUGCAAAGAGCCGGUGAAGAGGAAGGCGGCAACUGCAGGAACGUGCUAGUUAGCUGCCGCGCUGCUUUUGUCGAGGAUGGAAUCGGACCUCCGGCCCUGUGAAAGCUAAGUCGACCGAACGGGGCCGCGAGGAGGGGCCGAGGUUGGGAAUUGCAGGGGAGUGUUUGAAAGUUAGCACGGGGGAGAAGGCUGUACGGGAGCGGGGCCCUCCGGUCAGGUAAAGGUAACGGAUUACUUUUUCCCCUCGAUGUUAGCGUGUCCCGGGCAGGGCAGUUCCAGCCUCUGCGUGUGUCAUCGUGUAGUUUGUUUCUUCUGUCUGCCGUGUCUUUGCCCUUCCUCGGCUCUAAAUGUCCUCGCGUCUCUUUGGGCUCGAGGAGCUCGGCACGCGUCUCGGGGGCCAUCCCUAGGGUAUCGAACGCCCAUCUUCAUCGGCACGCUGCCGAUCGGGUGCUUUUUUUAUUCUUGCGUUAUGAGCUUAAAGCGUGGGUAGGUCUUGGAAGUUUCCGGUCGGGAGUCUUUUGCGCAGCAUCGUCGCAGGCUCUGGCGUCAGCUCUUCUAUUUAGGCAUCCGUUGUUCCUGCCGGUGACUUCUUUCCCGUAUCCUGACGUUCUUAGGUCUUGAAGCCCAUCUUCUUGCGUACCCAUCGUCUCGGUUUUGACGGUAGCUUCUCGUAAGGGGCCGUUCCACUUAGUGCUUCUUGUAGGCUGCCGUAUAGCCUCCUCACGUCGCCAUCGUGGCCCUCCGAGUCUUCUCGCCUUACGGCAUACCCUUCUGGGUGUCCUUAUCGCUUAGCGUUUAGUCCUCUUUGAAUCGCGUCAUUUGUAGUAUUUUGUGUGUGUCUGUGUGGCUCGGAGCUGCUCUGCCUGGGGGUGUGGAGUCUCAGGGAUAGGUGGAAUAGAGUUCACGGGUACACUGUAUGGGUUUGUUUUAAAUAAGAAAACGAAUCCUCCAACUGGGUGACAUCUUUGUCUCCCCGGUGGGGUUUAUUUUCACCCAGUCGCAGAUGCUCUCUGAGGGUGACGGUCGCGGUCAGCGUCUGGGUGAAGGUCAGGUUUGGGCCGGGAUUUCCUCAGGCUAGGCGCUCGAGUCCCCCAGGAACGGUAUUCAGGGGGUGACUGCCCGUCGUGACGGUUGGGCGGAAGGAUGGGCCGGUGGAGAGUGGGGGUUGGUUUUGGCGGUAGGUGGAAUAGCGGCAUGUUUAGAACGUGUCUAGCUGUGUAAGAGUAUUUGUCGUCUCUUUUCUUCCAGGAUGUAGGCGGGGCUCAAUUUGACUACGUAGACUGGAUUUAAUGAAAACCUCUGUCAGGGGAAUAAACUUCUGUUUUUUCCUGUC
Long non-coding RNA from Tyto alba (common barn owl), 2688 nucleotides. RefSeq lists it as uncharacterized. The record is from RefSeq and is a predicted model, not a curated record. The transcript is spliced from 6 exons. Lineage: Eukaryota; Metazoa; Chordata; Aves; Strigiformes; Tytonidae.